UACGAAGGGGGCUAGCGUUGCUCGGAAUUACUGGGCGUAAAGCGCACGUAGGCGGAUUGUUAAGUCGGGGGUGAAAUCCUGGAGCUCAACUCCAGAACUGCCUUUGAUACUGGCGAGCUUGAGUUCGGGAGAGGUGAGUGGAACUGCGAGUGUAGAGGUGAAAUUCGUAGAUAUUCGCAAGAACACCAGUGGCGAAGGCGGCUCACUGGCCCGAUACUGACGCUGAGGUGCGAAAGCGUGGGGAGCAAACAGG
This 253-nucleotide ribosomal RNA is filed under the name uncultured bacterium. RNAcentral's name for it is "partial 16S ribosomal RNA". It matches the Rfam family "Bacterial small subunit ribosomal RNA", at positions 524 to 776 of the family's 1533-position model. The record is from RNAcentral.